CCAAUAGCGUAUAUUAAAGUUGUUGCAGUUAAAAAGCUCGUAGUUGAAUUUUGGGUCUGGCCGGGCGGUCCGCCCUCUGGGUGAGCACUGUUCCGACGUCGGGCCUAUCCUUCUGGUGAGUCGGCAUGUCCUUUAUUGGGUGUGUCGGGGAACCAGGACCAUUACCUUGAAAAAAUUAGAGUGUUCAAAGCAGGCGUAUGCUCGGAUACAUUAGCAUGGAAUAAUGAAAUAGGACGCGUGGUGCUAUUUUGUUGGUUUCUAGAACCGCCGUAAUGAUUAAUAGGGAUAGUUGGGGGCAUUAGUAUUCAAUUGUCAGAGGUGAAAUUCUUGGAUUUAUUGAAGACUAACUUCUGCGAAAGCAUUUGCCAAGGAUGUUUUCAUUAAUCAAGAACGAAAGCUAGGGGAUCGAAGACGAUCAGAUACCGUCGUAGUCUUAACCAUAAACUAUGCCGACUAGGAAUCGGGCGAUGUUAUUCUCAUGACUCGCCCGGCGCCUUAUG
Molecule: ribosomal RNA, 500 nt
Filed under: uncultured Glomeromycotina
Lineage: Eukaryota; Fungi; Glomeromycota
Description: partial small subunit ribosomal RNA
Rfam family: Eukaryotic small subunit ribosomal RNA
Source: RNAcentral